RNAcentral lists this ribosomal RNA (509 nucleotides) under uncultured bacterium. Its description in RNAcentral is "bacterial SSU rRNA". It matches the Rfam family "Bacterial small subunit ribosomal RNA", at positions 775 to 1280 of the family's 1533-position model. The record is from RNAcentral.
AGUAAAUAGAUACCCGGGUAGUCCACGCCGUAAACGAUGUCGACUUGGAGGUUGUGCCCUUGAGGCGUGGCUUCCGGAGCUAAACGCGUUAAAGUCGACCGCCUGGGGAGUACGGCCGCAAGGUUAAAACUCAAAUGAAUUGACGGGGGCCCGCACAAGCGGUGGAGCAUGUGGUUUAAUUCGAUGCAACGCGAAGAACCUUACCUACUCUUGACAUCCAGAGAACUUAGCAGAGAUGCUUUGGUGCCUUCGGGAACUCUGAGACAGGUGCUGCAUGGCUGUCGUCAGCUCGUGUUGUGAAAUGUUGGGUUAAGUCCCGCAACGAGCGCAACCCUUAUCCUUUGUUGCCAGCGGUUAGGCCGGGAACUCAAAGGAGACUGCCAGUGAUAAACUGGAGGAAGGUGGGGAUGACGUCAAGUCAUCAUGGCCCUUACGAGUAGGGCUACACACGUGCUACAAUGGCGCAUACAAAGAGAAGCGACCUCGCGAGAGCAAGCGGACCUCAUAAA